AGGCAUACCAAAAACAACAUACGCAUCAUAUAACUGAAUGAGAUGAUGAUACCCGCUGGUUAAGAACACAAAUUUUCAGCUCCAUAAGAGGGAUUAUAUGAUUAGAUGAGAAAUCGUACAUGGUAUUUCUCAACUGUCAGAUAUAAGAAGAUUGAUCAGUCAUCCUUAUUGAGAAAGAAACCAAACUACUUUUCAUUUGAUGCACUCCCUCAGCAUGUGUCCACAAGUUAGAGCAUUUCCCUUGUUAUCAUAGCUGCCACAGUGCAUAUUGUCAAACAACACUGACAUAACAAGACAUGACCAAAAUGUAUCCACAGGAAAGCAAUUUUUGUAUAAUAGCUAAAAAUAGGAGAAAGGAAGACAAACUCAAG
This 371-nucleotide long non-coding RNA is filed under the name Salvia miltiorrhiza (redroot sage). RNAcentral describes it as "long non-coding RNA (SMIL_LNC003848)". The record is from RNAcentral. Lineage: Eukaryota; Viridiplantae; Streptophyta; Magnoliopsida; Lamiales; Lamiaceae.